RNAcentral lists this transfer RNA (73 nucleotides) under Apaloderma vittatum (bar-tailed trogon). It matches the Rfam family "tRNA". From Rfam's summary of the family: Transfer RNA (tRNA) molecules are approximately 80 nucleotides in length. Their secondary structure includes four short double-helical elements and three loops (D, anti-codon, and T loops). Lineage: Eukaryota; Metazoa; Chordata; Aves; Trogoniformes; Trogonidae. The record is from Rfam by way of RNAcentral.
GGCUGGUUAGCUCAGUCAGUCAGAGCAUGGUGCUGAUAACACCAAGGUCGCGGGUUUGAUCCCCAUUCAGCCC